Molecule: ribosomal RNA, 384 nt
Filed under: uncultured bacterium
Lineage: Bacteria
Description: bacterial SSU rRNA
Rfam family: Bacterial small subunit ribosomal RNA
Source: RNAcentral
GACGAACGCUGGCGGCGUGCCUAACACAUGCAAGUCGAACGAGGUCCAUGAGGUGGCAACACCUCGGAAGACCUAGUGGCGAACGGGUGAGUAACACGUGAGGAACUUGCCCCGGAGACUGGGAUAACCCUCCGAAAGGAGGGCUAAUACCGGAUACCUCCACCUGGUCGCAUGGCCGGGUGAAGAAAUGGAUUCCGCUCCGGGAGAGCCUCGCGGCCUAUCAGCUAGUUGGUGGGGUAACGGCCCACCAAGGCNUCGACGGGUAGCUGGUCUGAGAGGACGAUCAGCCACACUGGGACUGAGACACGGCCCAGACUCCUACGGGAGGCAGCAGUGGGGAAUCUUGCGCAAUGGGCGAAAGCCUGACGCAGCAACGCCGCGUGC